GGCAAAUACAGUAUCCUACUGUUAAGAGAAACAAAAGACCAAGGAAAAUUUUUACAAAGUCCUCCAAUCUUUCAAAUGGCAGCAAGAGAUAUGAAGCCUUUUGUCAUUCAAAUUAUCAUUUGAUACACCUUUAAACUGAUGAUUGAGUGUGAACUUUAAUUCUGACUUUUAUACAAUGUGAAUAAUUUGUCUCAUUAGCUGUCCAAGCAAAAACCGCG
Molecule: unclassified non-coding RNA, 218 nt
Filed under: Hevea brasiliensis (rubber tree)
Lineage: Eukaryota; Viridiplantae; Streptophyta; Magnoliopsida; Malpighiales; Euphorbiaceae
Source: RNAcentral